GACGAACGCUGGCGGCGUGCUUAACACAUGCAAGUCGAACGGAAAGGCCCUGCUUUUGUGGGGUGCUCGAGUGGCGAACGGGUGAGUAACACGUGAGUAACCUGCCCUUGACUUUGGGAUAACUUCGGGAAACCAGAGCUAAUACCGGAUAAUAUAUUGAACCGCAUGGUUCAAUAGUGAAAGACGGUUUUGCUGUCACUUAUAGAUGGAUCCGCGCCGCAUUAGCUAGUUGGUAAGGUAACGGCUUACCAAGGCAACGAUGCGUAGCCGACCUGAGAGGGUGAUCGGCCACACUGGAACUGAGACACGGUCCAGACUCCUACGGGAGGCAGCAGUAGGGAAUCUUCCGCAAUGGGCGAAAGCCUGACGGAGCAACGCCGCGUGAGUGAUGAAGGUCUUCGGAUCGUAAAACUCUGUUAUUAGGGAAGAACAAAUGUGUAAGUAACUAUGCACGUCUUGACGGUACCUAAUCAGAAAGCCACGGCUAACUACGUG
RNAcentral lists this ribosomal RNA (495 nucleotides) under uncultured bacterium. RNAcentral's name for it is "partial 16S ribosomal RNA". It matches the Rfam family "Bacterial small subunit ribosomal RNA", at positions 28 to 507 of the family's 1533-position model. The record is from RNAcentral.